UACGUAGGGGGCAAGCGUUGUCCGGAAUCAUUGGGCGUAAAGAGCGUGUAGGCGGUUUGGUAAGUCCGCUGUGAAAGUCAAGGGCUCAACCCUUGAAUGCCGGUGGAUACUGUCGAACUAGAGUCCGGAAGAGGCGAGUGGAAUUCCUGGUGUAGCGGUGAAAUGCGCAGAUAUCGUCAAGAACACCUAUUGCGAAGGCAGCUAACUAAGCUUUAACUGACGCUGAGGCACGAAAGUGUGGGGAUCAAACAGG
This 253-nucleotide ribosomal RNA is filed under the name uncultured bacterium. Its description in RNAcentral is "partial 16S ribosomal RNA". It matches the Rfam family "Bacterial small subunit ribosomal RNA", at positions 524 to 776 of the family's 1533-position model. The record is from RNAcentral.